AUUGAACGCUGGCGGCAGGCCUAACACAUGCAAGUCGAACGAGUGGCGGACGGGUGAGUCAUGUCUGGGCAACUGGCUAAUGGAGAGGGAUAACUACUGGAAACGGUAGCUAAUACCGCAUACCCUCAGAUGUGCCCCGAUGGGACUAGAUAGGUGGUGGGGUAAAGGCGCACAAGGGCGACGAUCCGUAGCUGGUCUGAGAGGAUGACCGGCCACACUGGAACUGAGACACGGUCCAGACGCCUACGGGAGGCAGCAGUGGGGAAUAUUGCACAAUGGGCGCAAGCCUGAUGCAGCCAUGCCGCGUGUAUGAAGAAGGCCUUCGGGUGGUAAAGUACUUUCAGCGGGGAGGCGUUACCCGCAGUGGAAGCACCGGCUAACUCCGUGCCAGCAGCCGCGGUAAUAC
This 406-nucleotide ribosomal RNA is filed under the name uncultured bacterium. RNAcentral describes it as "partial 16S ribosomal RNA". It matches the Rfam family "Bacterial small subunit ribosomal RNA", at positions 29 to 526 of the family's 1533-position model. The record is from RNAcentral.